CUACGGGGGGCACCAGUGGGGAAUAUUGCACAAUGGGCGCAAGCCUGAUGCAGCCAUGCCGCGUGUAUGAAGAAGGCCUUCGGGUUGUAAAGUACUUUCAGCGGGGAGGAAGGGAGUAAAGUUAAUACCUUUGCUCAUUGACGUUACCCGCAGAAGAAGCACCGGCUAACUCCGUGCCAGCAGCCGCGGUAAUACGGAGGGUGCAAGCGUUAAUCGGAAUUACUGGGCGUAAAGCGCACGCAGGCGGUUUGUUAAGUCAGAUGUGAAAUCCCCGGGCUCAACCUGGGAACUGCAUCUGAUACUGGCAAGCUUGAGGCUCGUAGAGGGGGGUAGAAUUCCAGGUGUAGCGGGGAAAUGCGUAGAGAUCUGGAGGAAUACCGGUGGCGAAGGCGGCCCCCUGGACGAAGACUGACGCUCAGGUGCGAAAGCGUGGGGAGCAAACAGGAUUAGAUACCCCCGUAGUC
This 464-nucleotide ribosomal RNA is filed under the name uncultured bacterium. RNAcentral's name for it is "partial 16S ribosomal RNA". It matches the Rfam family "Bacterial small subunit ribosomal RNA", at positions 339 to 795 of the family's 1533-position model. The record is from RNAcentral.